RNAcentral lists this ribosomal RNA (497 nucleotides) under uncultured bacterium. RNAcentral describes it as "partial 16S ribosomal RNA". It matches the Rfam family "Bacterial small subunit ribosomal RNA", at positions 28 to 507 of the family's 1533-position model. The record is from RNAcentral.
GAUGAACGCUGGCGGCGUGCCUAAUACAUGCAAGUCGAGCGAACAGACGAGGAGCUUGCUCCUCUGACGUUAGCGGCGGACGGGUGGGUAACACGUGGAUAACCUACCUAUAAGACUGGGAUAACUUCGGGAAACCGGAGCUAAUACCGGAUAAUAUAUUGAACCGCAUGGUUCAAUAGUGAAAGACGGUUUUGCUGUCACUUAUAGAUGGAUCCGCGCCGCAUUAGCUAGUUGGUAAGGUAACGGCUUACCAAGGCAACGAUGCGUAGCCGACCUGAGAGGGUGAUCGGCCACACUGGAACUGAGACACGGUCCAGACUCCUACGGGAGGCAGCAGUAGGGAAUCUUCCGCAAUGGGCGAAAGCCUGACGGAGCAACGCUGCGUGAGUGAUGAAGGUCUUCGGAUCGUAAAACUCUGUUAUUAGGGAAGAACAAAUGUGUAAGUAACUAUGCACGUCUUGACGGUACCUAAUCAGAAAGCCACGGCUAACUACGUG